UACGGGGGGGGCAAGCGUUGUUCGGAAUUACUGGGCGUAAAGGGCUCGUAGGCGGCCAACUAAGUCAGACGUGAAAUCCCCAGGCUUAACCUGGGAACUGCGUCUGAUACUGGAUGGCUUGAAUUCGGGAGAGGGAUGCAGAAUUCCAGGUGGUAGCGGUGAAAUGCGUAGAUAUCUGGAGGAAUACCGGUGGCGAAGGCGGCAUCCUGGACCGAGAUUGACGCUGAUGAGCGAAAGCUAGGGGAGCAAACGGGG
This 255-nucleotide ribosomal RNA is filed under the name uncultured bacterium. Its description in RNAcentral is "partial 16S ribosomal RNA". It matches the Rfam family "Bacterial small subunit ribosomal RNA", at positions 524 to 777 of the family's 1533-position model. The record is from RNAcentral.